This 429-nucleotide ribosomal RNA is filed under the name Actinomycetes bacterium. RNAcentral's name for it is "Actinobacteria bacterium partial 16S ribosomal RNA". It matches the Rfam family "Bacterial small subunit ribosomal RNA", at positions 355 to 776 of the family's 1533-position model. Lineage: Bacteria; Bacillati; Actinomycetota; Actinomycetes. The record is from RNAcentral.
UAGGGAAUCUUCCGCAAUGGGCGAAAGCCUGACGGAGCAACGCCGCGUGAGUGAUGAAGGUCUUCGGAUCGUAAAACUCUGUUAUUAGGGAAGAACAAAUGUGUAAGUAACUAUGCACGUCUUGACGGUCCCUAAUCAGAAAGCCACGGCUAACUACGUGCCAGCAGCCGCGGUAAUACGUAGGCGGCAAGCGUUAUCCGGAAUUAUUGGGCGUAAAGCGCGCGUAGGCGGUUUUUUAAGUCUGAUGUGAAAGCCCACGGCUCAACCGUGGAGGGUCAUUGGAAACUGGAAAACUUGAGUGCAGAAGAGGAAAGUGGAAUUCCAUGUGUAGCGGUGAAAUGCGCAGAGAUAUGGAGGAACACCAGUGGCGAAGGCGACUUUCUGGUCUGUAACUGACGCUGAUGUGCGAAAGCGUGGGGAUCAAACAGG